GCGGUAUGGAACACUCUUUUCCUUUCUCAAGCCCCACCGAAGUGACCGAACUACGAGACUCCCGAACUCUUGCGCCGUUUCUUCACUUCUUCUCCUCCUCUCCAUCUCGGAGCUCCAGCGGUCCAGCCUUCAGCUCCAGUUCUUCCGUUCUUCGGCGGCUCGUGGCUCGGCCCUUGAUCAGUGUUUGAAAUUGCUGGGUUAUUCACUCCAGUCACUCUACCGAAAGAGUUCUUGGGUGGGUUGGGUUUGUUGAAUUUGUUCAUGUAUCACGGGAGAUUGGGAGGUGGAUUGAGGAGGAUGCUUUCGUCCUUGUUCCUGGUGAUAUAAAUCAUAUAAUCAGCAUUGAGCUUGGGGAUAUUAUUCCAGCAGAUGCUCGUCUCCUCGACGAUGAUCCACUGAAAAUUGAUCAGUUUGCACUUACCGGUGAGUCACUUUUUGUGACCAAAGGCCCUGGUGACAGUGUGUAUUCGGGCUCUACAUGCAAACAAGGAGAGAUUGAAGCUGUUGACUUGAUACAUAUGCUUUCGCAAGCGUACGAAUCAUUGUCAAGAUAGGGAAGUAUUGAGCCCAAAGUUUAUCGUACCACGGGGAUUAGUGGCUAACCCACAAUCCUUGGAUAGUCGGAACUAGAGUCACUAAGCAAAUAAAGGAAAAAGAAAAAGAAAAUA
Long non-coding RNA from Rosa rugosa (rugosa rose), 668 nucleotides. RefSeq lists it as uncharacterized. The record is from RefSeq and is a predicted model, not a curated record. The transcript is spliced from 4 exons. NCBI's taxonomy places the organism in Eukaryota, Viridiplantae, Streptophyta, Magnoliopsida, Rosales, Rosaceae.